Molecule: long non-coding RNA, 205 nt
Organism: Penaeus monodon (black tiger shrimp)
Lineage: Eukaryota; Metazoa; Arthropoda; Malacostraca; Decapoda; Penaeidae
Exons: 2
Source: RefSeq, a predicted model, not a curated record
ACGGCAAAAAAGCGAAAGUGACGGCAAAGAAUGAACAACAACAAUGAAGUCAACACCCAAGUGCAGAUCAACUACCCACGAAGAAGUAUUACAUUCUGAGACACACAAAAAUCUUCCUACAGAGAACAAGAUAAUUGAUAUUAUCUGAAAAAAACGAAGAACCAUAAAAGAAAAAUCCAGGAGUAUAGACUGUUAUAGUCUAAAA